GACGAACGCUGGCGGCGUGCCUAAUACAUGCAAGUAGAACGCUGAAGGAGGAGCUUGCUCUUCUGGAUGAGUUGCGAACGGGUGAGUAACGCGUAGGUAACCUGCCUGGUAGCGGGGGAUAACUAUUGGAAACGAUAGCUAAUACCGCAUAAGAGUAGAUGUUGCAUGACAUUUACUUAAAAGGUGCAAUUGCAUCACUACCAGAUGGACCUGCGUUGUAUUAGCUAGUUGGUGGGGUAACGGCUUACCAAGGCGACGAUACAUAGCCGACCUGAGAGGGUGAUCGGCCACACUGGAACUGAGACACGGCCCAGACUCCUACGGGAGGCAGCAGUAGGGAAUCUUCGGCAAUGGACGGAAGUCUGACCGAGCAACGCCGCGUGAGUGAAGAAGGUGUUCGGAUCGUAAAGCUCUGUUGUAAGAGAAGAACGAGUGUGAGAGUGGAAAGUUCACACUGUGACGGUAUCGUACCAGAAAGGGACGGCUAACUACGU
Molecule: ribosomal RNA, 494 nt
Filed under: uncultured bacterium
Lineage: Bacteria
Description: partial 16S ribosomal RNA
Rfam family: Bacterial small subunit ribosomal RNA
Source: RNAcentral